Molecule: ribosomal RNA, 235 nt
Filed under: uncultured bacterium
Lineage: Bacteria
Description: partial 16S ribosomal RNA
Rfam family: Bacterial small subunit ribosomal RNA
Source: RNAcentral
CGGACGGGUGAGUAACGCGUGGGUAACCUGCCUCAUACAGGGGGAUAACAGUUAGAGAUGACUGCUAAUACCGCAUAAGACCACAGCACCGCAUGGUGCAGGGGUAAAAACUCCGGUGGUAUGAGAUGGACCCGCGUCUGAUUAGGUAGUUGGUGGGGUAACGGCCUACCAAGCCGACGAUCAGUAGCCGACCUGAGAGGGUGACCGGCCACAUUGGGACUGAGACACGGCCCAG